CAGUCGCCACGGUAAUACGUAGGGUGCAAGCGUUAAUCGGAAUUACUGGGCGUAAAGCGUGCGCAGGCGGUUUGUUAAGACAGAUGUGAAAGCCCCGGGCUCAACCUGGGAACUGCAUUUGUGACUGUCAAGCUAGAGUGUGGCAGAGGGGGGUGGAAUUCCGCGUGUAGCAGUGAAAUGCGUAGAUAUGCGGAGGAACACCGAUGGCGAAGGCAGCCCCCUGGGCCAACACUGACGCUCAUGUACGAAAGCGUGGGGAGCAAACAGGAUUAGAUACCCCCGUAGUCCCUGUCUCUUAUAC
This 301-nucleotide ribosomal RNA is filed under the name uncultured bacterium. RNAcentral describes it as "partial 16S ribosomal RNA". It matches the Rfam family "Bacterial small subunit ribosomal RNA", at positions 509 to 807 of the family's 1533-position model. The record is from RNAcentral.